Camelus dromedarius (Arabian camel) is the source of this 4906-nucleotide long non-coding RNA. RefSeq lists it as uncharacterized. The record is from RefSeq and is a predicted model, not a curated record. Lineage: Eukaryota; Metazoa; Chordata; Mammalia; Artiodactyla; Camelidae. The transcript has 4 exons.
UGUUCUGGAAGAGGGUGAGAGAGGGCAGGGUCAGGAGGCCCCACGCACAGCCUGCAGACCCCCCUCGGGUUCGGUCUGCGGACCCCCUCCCAGGCGCUGUCCUUGCCCCAGGUCACGGCUUUCUGCUGUUGCUACCGCUGGCUCGCACCACCUGCCAGAACUGCCCAGAGCAAUUAUUGACUUUGCCUGGGGCGGGAUAUUAAGCGGUGGUUAUUACGUUUGCCAUCCUGUAUCUCUGGGGGAGACCAACCCUUGGCUUCCCAAGGGAAUUCCCCCUCCGGUUUUCCCAGCCUCUCUCCUCUCCUCACAGACAGACACAGGAAGUUACUGUUUUCCGUUUCGAACUUUCUUAAGCCGUUUCCUCAGUCAGAGACCUGCAGAGAGAAAAGGCAAGCCUCACCACAGCGAGGAGGGAGCUGUAAGAGGCCUCUCAGGAGAACUCGGGCUGUGAAAACCCAGGCUGGGCCACCCUGCGCUGGUUUCUCCUCAGGACCCCGCCGCCCGCCCAGGAAGCAGAAUAACUCACCUGCAGCACUGUGGGAUUGGAGCCCGGAGCCGCGCCGCUGAAGGAGCAGCCGCCCCACACAGUGGGUGGAGGGAGAGCCACGCAGCUGUAUCCUCAGUGCCAGUCCAGCCAGGAGCCCUGGGCCACAGAGGAUGCUGCUCCAGAAGCAGAGGCUAGACGAGAAUCCAGUUGAAUUGGCUGUUCUCCAGUCCUGUCUCACAAAACUGCUCUAGAAUCCCUAGACACGUGAGCACCUAAGAAGAAAGCACAGCCACGUGGUCAAGCGUCCCCCGAGGGUCAGGGUCCUCAUGCGGCCCAUGGCUGUCUGCAAGGUGAGACCUCCGAUUCUGUCUCCCACUAUCCCAUUGCCUGCCUCUGCACCGCCUCUGCCUUGUUCUCACCUCUUCUCUGCUUAAACCAUAUAGCUCCAAGGUGGCUCCAGUUUUCCUGGGAGCCAUUUGACAAAGACACAUAAACACAUAACAGACAAACUGUGCUUCAUGGCUCCCCGGGAAUGUGUCUUGUCUUGGCCUGUAUUAUAUGGUCCAGAGCCAAAGGAGGCUACAUUCUCAUCCCCACGAACCAGGACACUUGACCGCUUCCCCCACUUGUAGGACCCCAACAUCUUAUUUCCCCUGUACUCCACUGUCAGUCUGCGCUCUCCUCCAAGACCAAGAUUUUCUAGCCUCCCAGUCACUGUUUCUCCGCAGCACAGAAGCACUUUUUACAUAAACAACAGAAUGGGAGGAGAACGCAUCUCUGCUGCAUUGACUUGUGUGGUUCUGCAUGUGUGCUUUCCUUGAAUGUUCACGACAAUCUGGAUUCGGUUAAGAAAGGUGAGGAAUAAGGAGGUGGACCAUUCCUUUACCCCUAGGGGCCUGGAGAAGUUGUCUGCCCCACUAGGCCCGUGUGUAUGUAUGUAUAUGGACAUGCACACACCGUCCAUUUAUACAUACGCACCACGUGGGUGUCUGACGUGUAUGCCAAUCCACUGGGUUACUUUGGGUGUCUCACGCCUUGUUUGAGCUCUUUUUCCUCUUGGCAGGUAGUACAUACCUGAUCUGUUCCCUCCCAUUCAUCACCGUAUGUCGGUUGUAGGGCCAGAGUCAGAAAAAUAACCUGCAGGAAGGUGGGAGUGGACUUUGGUGGGGGGGGGGGUGCUCUGUAUUGUGAGCCUUUUUUCAGGAAAUGCUGGAUUUAUGCCAUCACUUUGGAGAGUAGUUUGGCAGUUUCUGUUGAAGCUGAAAAUGCACCAAUGCUCCCAGUAUUUCCCUACAAAAGGACAUGCACAGGAUGUUCGAAGCAGCAGUGCUAUGCUGGUGAAAAAUGGGAGAUUAUCCAAAUGUCUAUAAAGAGUAGAAUAGAAAAAGUAAAACAGCUUAUUAAUAUGAUGGAAUAUUAUUCAGCAGACAAAAGGAAUGAAUGAGAUCUGUCCACUUCAGUGACGAGUAUCAAAGGGGUAGAUGGCAACAAUACAGUCUUGGGUGGAAAAGAGCUAGUUAGACUUGUACUGUGUGAUAUUUAUGGGCGUUAAAAAAAACCGCAAAAGAAUACUGAACAGUGUUUGUGGACUCAAGUACAGAGUACAUUUCAUGGACAGGAAAGAUACACUUACAUUCUGAAGAGAGGAAGCUUAGUGAAGGAGAAACAUUAACAGGAACGUCAGCCUUAAAAAUCUGAAGAAACAUGACUUAAUAAGCAUGCGCUCUGCAUGAUUUGUUACGUUUUUAAGUUUCUAUACUUAAAUUUUUCAUCCAGAUUUUUUAAAUAAUGGAAGAAAGACAGGCUGCAACUCUGAUCACUUGUGAAAUGACAUAUCUUUUGGUUGCAAGUGACUGAAAACCCAAUUCAAACUGGCUUAAGCUAAAGAGCGGUAGGGGGUCACACUCUGAAAAGCCCCAGAGUAUAUCUGCUCCAGGGUAGCAAAUGCCUGGACUUGGUUUCUUCCUGUUCCGCCUUCCCUUAAGUUGACUUUAGCCUCUCUCCUCAAAGUGGACUCCAGUGUGAUGGGCCACCAUUCUUAAAGUGUUAAUUCAGUAGAAAAGAGGUUCUUCCUCUUAAAUGGUUAGAAGAGAAGGGCAGGGCUCAGCUUUCCUUUGCCUGGGUUGAGUCACACCCCGACGUGUGAACCAUCACUGUGGUUGGAGAGGAACUGUGCUGAGAUCCCCGGUCUGUCACCUGGGUCGCACAUCUACCACUGAAGCCUGAGGUGGGGAGUGAAGUCAUUACAGAAGGGGAGUGCUGUCACCAGAGAAGAAGAGAUACCACAAGAAGGCCAAAGCAGCAACUGCCCACCUCUGAUUGCUGGCUCAUUUUUGGAAAUGGGGUUGCAGAGCACAAUGGGAUAAAACUGUAAUCUUCAAGUCCACCAGUCGGUUCGCCCUUCCCCACCUCCCCCUGAUCGCUGUGCACCCGGCCCCUGGGGUGGGGCCUCCUGAUGGGAGCGACAUUGUCAGUGCUAGAGCGAGGCUCUCAGCAGCCUUCCCGUAAGCCAUCAGUUCUCCACCCGGGGUGUGGGCGGGAACAUAGCCUCUGCCAGCUGAACUGGUGACCAUCUCAGAGGGAUACUGUCCUAGCAGGAUGGAGGGGAUGGUUUGAAAAUGCGUGUUUAAUAUAAUUUGUUCUUUGCCAAAUUAUAUUUGUUUAAUGUAACAUAAACGACAGCAGUUAGCAACGUGUUAUGGUCAAAAAGGCAUGUGUUCAAAGGUUGUGAGGUGCUGAGUGGGGGUGUGGUAGCCUGAGCCCGGCUUAGGGAGGAAGCUCUCAGGGAGGAAGCUCCCCAAUGAGUUUACAUAAACCCAGUGACCUGAUUUUACAUCAGAGUCUCUUUCCAUUGGAAGCUCACCCUGCCCCCUCCUGACAACCGUACGAGGCUGAGGUAUGACAUGGCUAGUGGUAUCUUCAAGAAACCUUCCUUUUUUCCCCCUUAACACAAUGCUUCAGGAGCCAUUCAUUUUCUUAGCAGGGGCAACGGUGGUUGCAUUGAACCAGAUUGCAUGAACUAGAUGUUUUCAAGCAAUCUAAUUGCAAAAUUGAGGCUUUCACUCGGGCUUUGUGAAACACACCCCCUUCCAAAAUAAAGCUCACUAAGCAUGUUCAUAACCUUCACCCUGACGAACUGUCCUUAAUCUUGGCUGACAAAAAUCAAAUGUACAGUUUUUUUCAGGAUGACAUUGGCAAGUAUGUUUAGUAUUGAGCCUUCCCUUCCUCCUGCUAAUACAGCUUCUGAGAUCAGAAAUCCCACCUGUAUUUUAGAUCAACAUACCACCACCUAAAUGCAGCUGAAGUAAUCCUGUCUUAUAAAACAAGAGAACUGCAGUUCAGAAAAUCUUUAGAACCAGAUUCUUGACGGGCACAAAGUAUUGAACAUACAGGCCCGUGUGGAGCAAUUGUAGCUUUUUUAUCUAAACCAGUUUUGUUACUCUUUGUCUCACGACAGAGUAGUUCUGGGUUUUAUGUCUCAUUUGAUGCAUCAAAAAGCUUUGCAUUUCACCAGGCCGACUUUAAACUCACAUCUCUGAGAGCCUGAGUGACACUAAACUUGAACAGUGAAAUUUUGAAUCAUUAAAUGCGUGUACACCAGGUAGCGUAAUGUUUUCUACGUGUGCAAUUGCAUUCAGCAGAACAAGCAUGUCUGUCAUCUAACUGGAUCAACAGUUUUCAAACUUGUUGACCUCAAGAUGCUUUUAUACUCUUAAAAAUUACUGAGCUGGCAGAUCUAGUCACCUGUGAAGCUGACAUUGGCCACACCUAAGCGCCCAUCCCUUCUCUCUGUGGCCGGCUCUCCAACUCUGCUCCCCCAGUACCCUGACAGUGAGGCGCCCAGCUCUGCAGCCUCUGUAGCCUUUUAUCAAAGGCUUUGCGCAUAGCUGAGGAGGAGAAAUAGAAAAUCAGGGGGUCAAUGCAAGCGUUGGGAGUGCUUAGCAACACGGUGCAUGCCCGCCAGGUUGGAUUUUUCCACUGGAAGAACCCCACCACGUGAGACACGUUGUAGGGCCCAAAACAGAUCACAAAAUUGAAGAGGGUCAUAACAGCCAGCCCCAUGGCUCUCCAGCGCCUCCAGGUCCCCACGUGGGGCUGGGAGAGGAUGAUUCGCACAAAACGCCGGUAGCAGAAGAUGGUGGCCGCCAUGGGGAUGAAGAAGAGGACGAGGCACAACGCCAGCCGCACGGGAAGCACCAGGCGCAGCUGCCCUCGGGUGAAGUUCUCAUAGCAGUAAGGGAGGACUUGGGCGUCACUCACCAGCCUCUUGGUAGCUGGGCACGGGGCUUGAACACAAGAUUCUCAGCUUCACCUCUGAAAAUGGGAGUUUGAUUAAGCAUGAGGGUAAAACAGCUUAAGCCCAAGGGGAAUCCCAGCUGCCAGCUUCUUGAUUCCACGCUGAGCCGUUCAAAGAAAGCC